This 169-nucleotide ribosomal RNA is filed under the name Carapus bermudensis. Its description in RNAcentral is "partial 12S ribosomal RNA". The record is from RNAcentral. Lineage: Eukaryota; Metazoa; Chordata; Actinopteri; Ophidiiformes; Carapidae.
CACCGCGGUUAUACGGGAAGGCCCAAGUUGACGAAGCCCGGCGUAAAGCGUGGUUAAGAGUACAUCAAACUAAAGCCGAAGACUAUCAAGGCUGUCGCACGCAUGUCGAGAGCGCGAAGAACCUUUACGAAAGUAGCUUUAAUCAUCUGAACCCACGAAAGCUAAGGUA